AAAUCUACAAUGUAUUACCCUCCGACAAGACAGAGCAAUCAUGGUAGAAUAUAAUCGAGAGUCUACAUAUAGCUGCUAGGGUUGGUAAUUUAGAGCUUAUGUCAACACUUAUCACCAAAGACUCAAGGACACCUCUUCACAUAGCAGCUAACCGAGGAAAAUUGGAGAUUUGUGACUAUCUGCUACAAAAUAGGAGCAUUGAUUGAUGUAUCAGAUAAAAAGGGUCAAACCCCUCUUAUGCAUGAUGUGAAGUCUUACAAAACAAAAGUGAUUUCCCUUGUAUCAAAUGAUGAGAAACCUUAGCGUAUAAAUGCUUUUUGUGAGUGGAAUCUUCAGGUAGUGAAAAUGCUAGUAAGUGCAGAUGAUUCUAUGAUCAACAUCAUGGAUGAAGCAGGCUGGACUGUUCUUCACUUUGCUGCAAGCAAUGGGUGCUUGGAAAUCACUAAGAUCUUCAAGACAUGGCACAACAUUAGAGAUCACUGACAAGGCUGGAUACUCUCCAUUCACAUUAAAGCAAGGAUAGGAAAGAUGGAAGUUUAUG
Molecule: long non-coding RNA, 541 nt
Organism: Brassica oleracea var. oleracea
Lineage: Eukaryota; Viridiplantae; Streptophyta; Magnoliopsida; Brassicales; Brassicaceae
Exons: 4
Source: RefSeq, a predicted model, not a curated record